RNAcentral lists this ribosomal RNA (492 nucleotides) under uncultured bacterium. RNAcentral's name for it is "partial 16S ribosomal RNA". It matches the Rfam family "Bacterial small subunit ribosomal RNA", at positions 29 to 507 of the family's 1533-position model. The record is from RNAcentral.
AGUGAACGCUGGCGGUGGGCCUAACACAUGCAAGUCGAACGGCAGCACAGUAAGAGCUUGCUCUUACGGGUGGCGAGUGGCGGACGGGUGAGGAAUACAUCGGAAUCUACUUUUUCGUGGGGGAUAACGUAGGGAAACUUACGCUAAUACCGCAUACGACCUACGGGUGAAAGCAGGGGAUCUUCGGACCUUGCGCGAUUGAAUGAGCCGAUGUCGGAUUAGCUAGUUGGCGGGGUAAAGGCCCACCAAGGCGACGAUCCGUAGCUGGUCUGAGAGGAUGAUCAGGCACACUGGAACUGAGACACGGUCCAGACUCCUACGGGAGGCAGCAGUGGGGAAUAUUGGACAAUGGGCGCAAGCCUGAUCCAGCCAUACCGCGUGGGUGAAGAAGGCCUUCGUGUUGUAAAGCCCUUUUGUUGGGAAAGAAAAGCAGCAGGUUAAUACCCCGCUGUUCUGACGGUACCCAAAGAAUAAGCACCGGCUAACUUCGUG